GAUGAACGCUGGCGGCGUGCUUAACACAUGCAAGUCGAACGGUGAAAGCGGAGCUUGCUCUGCUGGAUCAGUGGCGAACGGGUGAGUAACACGUGAGCAAUCUGCCCCUGACUCUGGGAUAAGCGCUGGAAACGGCGUCUAAUACCGGAUACGAGCUGCGAAGGCAUCUUCAGCAGCUGGAAAGAACUUCGGUCAGGGAUGAGCUCACGGCCUAUCAGCUUGUUGGUGAGGUAAUGGCUCACCAAGGCGUCGACGGGUAGCCGGCCUGAGAGGGUGACCGGCCACACUGGGACUGAGGCACGGCCCAGACUCCUACGGGAGGCAGCAGUGGGGAAUAUUGCACAAUGGGCGAAAGCCUGAUGCAGCAACGCCGCGUGAGGGAUGACGGCCUUCGGGUUGUAAACCUCUUUUAGCAGGGAAGAAGCGAAAGUGACGGUACCUGCAGAAAAAGCGCCGGCUAACUACGUGCCAGCAGCCGCGGUAAUACGUAGGGCGCAAGCGUUAUCCGGAAUUAUUGGGCGUAAAGAGCUCGUAGGCGGUUUGUCGCGUCUGCUGUGAAAUCCCGAGGCUCAACCUCGGGUCUGCAGUGGGUACGGGCAGACUAGAGUGCGGUAGGGGAGAUUGGAAUUCCUGGUGUAGCGGUGGAAUGCGCAGAUAUCAGGAGGAGCACCGAUGGCGAAGGCAGAUCUCUGGGCCGUUACUGACGCUGAGGAGCGAAAGGGUGGGGAGCAAACAGGCUUAGAUACCCUGGUAGUCCACCCCGUAAACGUUGGGAACUAGUUGUGGGGUCCAUUCCACGGAUUCCGUGACGCAGCUAACGCAUUAAGUUCCCCGCCUGGGGAGUACGGCCGC
This 852-nucleotide ribosomal RNA is filed under the name uncultured Microbacterium sp. Its description in RNAcentral is "bacterial SSU rRNA". It matches the Rfam family "Bacterial small subunit ribosomal RNA", at positions 28 to 889 of the family's 1533-position model. Lineage: Bacteria; Bacillati; Actinomycetota; Actinomycetes; Micrococcales; Microbacteriaceae. The record is from RNAcentral.